Zonotrichia leucophrys gambelii is the source of this 581-nucleotide long non-coding RNA. RefSeq lists it as uncharacterized. Lineage: Eukaryota; Metazoa; Chordata; Aves; Passeriformes; Passerellidae. The record is from RefSeq and is a predicted model, not a curated record. The transcript is spliced from 5 exons.
AUCUGCUGCUGUGGGGCUGGUGCAAACUGACUUGCAGGAAUCACAAAAGGAGAACAUAGGAAUUCACAAGUGUGUCUACCUUCCUGUUGGUAAGUAAAAAGGUAAAAUAGAAGAAAAGUCAAAGCAAAAGGGGGAGUUAAAGUAAAGCUGAUGCAUUUUUAAGGGAAGUAUGGAAACCUGUUUGUUUCAGCACAAGUCUAGAUUGAAAGCAGCGAUCUUGAAGUGCACAGGGAAAAACGGUUCUGUGCUCCAAAGGAGAAACUUAGCUUAUUGUAGAAAAAGACACUCAGAAGAUACAAGCCUCACAGAAUGCAGGAUGAUCUGGAAAAAAUUCUUAAUGAAGGUGAACCAAUAAGGGAGAGAAAUUCUAACCCAAUGAUGGCUUGCAUAUCAAAUUUAUGAAUCUCAGAAGCAGAACCUGAAAGUCUUCAGGGGAGGAGAGCUCGAGCUUUCAUUAAACCUUGUUACAAGUUCAAGACGGACAGUUGCAGCUGAAACAUUGGUGUGAGAUUCUUUGCCUCAUAGAUCUGUGAUCAUAGAAGAGCUCUGCAAGUCAAAUUUCAGGUAACUAAAAAAUUUAU